Molecule: long non-coding RNA, 263 nt
Organism: Mya arenaria
Lineage: Eukaryota; Metazoa; Mollusca; Bivalvia; Myida; Myidae
Exons: 3
Source: RefSeq, a predicted model, not a curated record
GUGGCCCCGUAACGAGGUCCCGGCGCCAGGCGGAACGGGACAAGAUGGCCUUCUAUAACCUCCGCUCCCGCCCCGUCAAACACAAACGGAGACAGAGCGAGAAAUGUAUCUCCUACGCCAGGCCCGGGUGUUCCCGUUGCGACAGAUUUCAACAGGACAAGAAUUCCAACACCAACAGCAAUGUGGACAGCGAGUCGGAACCCAUUGGUGACGUCAUUCAUUACGUCACAGUGUGCAAUAAUGUUCCAAAGACGUACCGUGUG